RNAcentral lists this long non-coding RNA (252 nucleotides) under Elaeis guineensis (African oil palm). RNAcentral's name for it is "long non-coding RNA (EGUI_LNC047957)". The record is from RNAcentral. Lineage: Eukaryota; Viridiplantae; Streptophyta; Magnoliopsida; Arecales; Arecaceae.
GCUGGGUCUUGUAGGAUGGGACUUAUCCAAUCAUCAAGUAGAUAACUAUGUGCACAAAUUAAGAAAGAUUAUUAGAAGAUGCUGAGAAGAGUUAUUCAUCAGGGAACCAAUCUAUAAUGGUUUCAUUGUUGUGUUCUAACAAGAUCCUUGAGAUAUGAUCUGCUACUACAUUUUGAGAACCCUUUUUAUUUAAAAUUUGCAGAUCAAAUUCUAGCAACAAAAGGACCCAUCUAAUCAACCUCGGCUUUGUAU